RNAcentral lists this non-coding RNA (80 nucleotides) under Toxocara canis (dog roundworm). RNAcentral describes it as "Eukaryotic large subunit ribosomal RNA". It matches the Rfam family "Eukaryotic large subunit ribosomal RNA", at positions 24 to 103 of the family's 3401-position model. The record is from Rfam by way of RNAcentral. Lineage: Eukaryota; Metazoa; Nematoda; Chromadorea; Rhabditida; Toxocaridae.
CCCGCUGAAUUUAAGCAUAUAACUAAGCGGAGGAAAAGAAACUAACGAGGAUUCCUCUAGUAACGGCGAGUGAACGGGGA